UUUCCUCUCUCUUAUCUUCUUUAUUUCUAAAUUUCUUUUGUAUUUUUUCCCUUGUCCGUAUUUUCUUAAUUUCUCAUCCCCUUAAAAAAAAUCAAUCUUUCUUCUUCUUCUUUCAAAUUCAGGUCUGCAGAUUCAAAGAGGUCCUGGAUCAUUUCCAAGUAAGACAAUAAUCUUACUCUACUACUUGAUUAACUGAUUUUACAUUUCACUUUUCUUUUGCAUCGAUGUAGUUAAUAAUUGUGUUAUCAAUUUUUCGAACUAGUUCUUCAUUGUCUCUUUUUUAACUUUAUAGUUAAGAUAAAUAUUGAUAGGUUUAUAACUUUAUAUUGGCUUAUGUGAUCUUCAGAAUUUGGAUAACUAUUUUUUUUAAUGUUUCCAUCAAUGUUCACUUUUAAAAAAGUUUGCAACUUUAUACUGUCCACGAGUUUCAUACUACUUAAUGAGUUAUUGUUACUUUCUUAGUGUGUGUUCUUUCCUAUGUUAAUAUGUUUUACUUGUAUCUCAGAAACAUACAAUUUUUUUUAUCAUAUUAACUAUCAGGAGUCAGGACUUGUUAAUUUAAUUAAUGAUACUUACUACUAAAUCAUUGAAGAUCGAAAACCCAUUGUUAAAGGUUCAAAAUCUUACCUGCAGCAAUUGAAGGAGAAUUAGAAGCUGCUAUAUUUAGGGCAGGAGGUAUCCAUAACGGUAAUUUUGGGGAUCUUUACAAAAUUGGGUGGACUAGAAGUAGCAGAACUGAUAAAGGUGUAAGUGAUAUAUAUAUAGUUUCAUAAUCAUUAAUGCUAAACGACAUAUGUAAAGUUUUUUUUAAAAUUGAGGUAUAUAUUCGAUAUCUGUAACUGUAAAUCUCUAAUACUAAUUUGGUAUUAUGGAUCAGCACUGAAAGCAUUUUUGUAGGAUGUCAAAUAUAUAUCUUCAUUGAAAUUUGAAAUAAAAAAAUGGUUCAUUUGUUAGUCGUUACCCGGGAGUAGGAUCUAGGGGCAAUUUUUUUUUACCUGCUUUACAAAAUUCGCACCAUGCCUGAGACCCGCUGAUCCGCUGUUAUUUUGGAGAAGGAAUGAAGGAUGAAUCACAUCAUUCGCCUUAUAUUCUGAACCGCUCCGUUCACCCUUAUUUUUCAGGAGGCAGGCUUCUCUAUUCUUAUCUCUAGUUCCUACAAGAGAAGCCAAAA
RNAcentral lists this long non-coding RNA (1171 nucleotides) under Zostera marina. Its description in RNAcentral is "long non-coding RNA (ZMAR_LNC002389)". Lineage: Eukaryota; Viridiplantae; Streptophyta; Magnoliopsida; Alismatales; Zosteraceae. The record is from RNAcentral.